RNAcentral lists this ribosomal RNA (287 nucleotides) under Clavibacter sp. AE(2010). RNAcentral's name for it is "partial 16S ribosomal RNA". It matches the Rfam family "Bacterial small subunit ribosomal RNA", at positions 209 to 505 of the family's 1533-position model. The record is from RNAcentral. Lineage: Bacteria; Bacillati; Actinomycetota; Actinomycetes; Micrococcales; Microbacteriaceae.
CAUUUAUUGGUUCAGGAUGGGCUCUCGGACUAUCUAGUAGUUGGUGAGGUAACCGCUCACCGAGACUACCACUGGUAGCCCGCCUGAGAUGAUGACCCGCCACACUGGUGACUGAGACACCGACCCAUACUCCUACAGGAGGCAGCAGUGAAUAAAUAUUGCACGAUGGGCGAAAGCCUGAUGCAGCAACGCCUCGUGAGGGAUGACCGCCUUCUUGUUGUAAACCUCUUUUAAUAAGGAAGAAGCUAAAAUGACUGCUCCUGCAUAAAAAACACCGGUUAACUACU